RNAcentral lists this unclassified non-coding RNA (225 nucleotides) under Hevea brasiliensis (rubber tree). Lineage: Eukaryota; Viridiplantae; Streptophyta; Magnoliopsida; Malpighiales; Euphorbiaceae. The record is from RNAcentral.
GCACUCCAUGCUGGAUCCUGGUACUCUGAUAAUGCCAACAAACUUGGAGAGGAACUGGAUGGUUGGCUCAGAGCAUCUGGAUUGGAUAAAUCACCUGAUGUUAGAGGUGUGAUUGCCCCGCAUGCAGGUUACUCAUACUCAGGUCGGUGUGCAGCAUAUGCCUUUGCUAACAUAGAUCCAGAGGCCAUUUCACGUGUGUUUCUUCUUGGUCCAUCUCACCAUUAU